ACACCGGCCGCUCAAGUGGUAGCCGCUUUUAUUGGGCCUAAAGCGUCCGUAGCCGGUCUGAUAAGUCUCUGGUGAAAUCCCACAGCUUAACUGUGGGAAUUGCUGGAGAUACUAUCAUGACUCGAGGUCGGGAGAGGCUGGAGGUACUCCCAGGGUAGGGGUGAAAUCCUGUAAUCCUGGGAGGACCACCUGUGGCGAAGGCGUCCAGCUGGAACGAACCUGACGGUGAGGGACGAAAGCCAGGGGCGCGAACCGGAUUAGAUACCCGGGUAGUCCUGGCCGUAAACGAUGUGGACUUGGUGUUGGGAUGGCUUCGAGCUGCCCCAGUGCCGAAGGGAAGCUGUUAAGUCCACCGCCUGGGAAGUACGGCCGCAAGGCUGAAACUUAAAGGAAUUGGCGGGG
Molecule: ribosomal RNA, 402 nt
Filed under: uncultured bacterium
Lineage: Bacteria
Description: partial 16S ribosomal RNA
Rfam family: Archaeal small subunit ribosomal RNA
Source: RNAcentral